This is a non-coding RNA of Felis catus (domestic cat), 85 nucleotides long. Lineage: Eukaryota; Metazoa; Chordata; Mammalia; Carnivora; Felidae. The record is from Rfam.
GCCUGGGUGGCUCAGUUGGUUAAGCGUCUGACUUCAGCUCAGGUCAUGAUCUCACAGUUUGUGGGUUCGAGCCCUGUGCCAGGCU